This 332-nucleotide ribosomal RNA is filed under the name uncultured Alteromonas sp. RNAcentral's name for it is "bacterial SSU rRNA". It matches the Rfam family "Bacterial small subunit ribosomal RNA", at positions 568 to 898 of the family's 1533-position model. Lineage: Bacteria; Pseudomonadati; Pseudomonadota; Gammaproteobacteria; Alteromonadales; Alteromonadaceae. The record is from RNAcentral.
UGCGUAGGCGGCUUUUUAAGUCUGACGUGAAAGCCCAGGGCUUAGCCUUGGAAGUGCGCCAGAAACUGGAAGGCUAGAGUGCCGGAGGGGAGAGUGGAAUUCCUGGUGUAGCGGUGAAAUGCGUAGAUAUCAGGAGGAAUACCGGUGGCGAAAGCGACUCUCUGGACGGUAACUGACGCUGAGGCACGAAAGCGUGGGGAGCAAACAGGAUUAGAUACCCUGGUAGUCCACGCUGUAAACGAUGGGCACUAGGUGUCGGGGGUAUCCACUCCCUCGGUGCCGCCGCUAACGCAUUAAGUGCCCCGCCUGGGAAGUACGGCCGCAAGGUUAAA